UUUCCGUAGGUGAACCUGCGGAAGGAUCAUUAACGGGUUAGGGUCUUCUAGGCCCGACCUCCCAACCCUAUGUUUAUUGAACCUCUGUUGCUUCGGCGGAUCCGCCUCACGGCCGCCGGAGGACCGCUGCAAGGCGUCCUCUGGCCAGCGUCCGCCGAUGGCCAACCACUUAAACUCUGAAUGAAUCGUGUCAUAUGUCUAAGUCUAUGAUUAAAUUAAAGCAAAACUUUCAACAACGGAUCUCUUGGUUCUG
RNAcentral lists this unclassified non-coding RNA (253 nucleotides) under plant metagenome. Its description in RNAcentral is "partial contains small subunit ribosomal RNA, internal transcribed spacer 1, and 5.8S ribosomal RNA". The record is from RNAcentral.